Molecule: ribosomal RNA, 1159 nt
Filed under: Arthrobacter alpinus
Lineage: Bacteria; Bacillati; Actinomycetota; Actinomycetes; Micrococcales; Micrococcaceae
Description: bacterial SSU rRNA
Rfam family: Bacterial small subunit ribosomal RNA
Source: RNAcentral
AGGCGACGACGGGUAGCCGGCCUGAGAGGGUGACCGGCCACACUGGGACUGAGACACGGCCCAGACUCCUACGGGAGGCAGCAGUGGGGAAUAUUGCACAAUGGGCGAAAGCCUGAUGCAGCGACGCCGCGUGAGGGAUGACGGCCUUCGGGUUGUAAACCUCUUUCAGUAGGGAACAAGGCCAGACGUUGUCUGGUUGAGGGUACUUGCAGAAGAAGCGCCGGCUAACUACGUGCCAGCAGCCGCGGUAAUACGUAGGGCGCAAGCGUUAUCCGGAAUUAUUGGGCGUAAAGAGCUCGUAGGCGGUUUGUCGCGUCUGCCGUGAAAGUCCGGGGCUCAACCCCGGAUCUGCGGUGGGUACGGGCAGACUAGAGUAAUGUAGGGGAGACUGGAAUUCCUGGUGUAGCGGUGAAAUGCGCAGAUAUCAGGAGGUACACCGAUGGCGAAGGCAGGUCUCUGGGCAUUAACUGACGCUGAGGAGCGAAAGCAUGGGGAGCGAACAGGAUUAGAUACCCUGGUAGUCCAUGCCGUAAACGUUGGGCACUAGGUGUGGGGGACAUUCCACGUCUUCCGCGCCGUAGCUAACGCAUUAAGUGCCCCGCCUGGGGAGUACGGCCGCAGGGCUAAAACUCAAAGGAAUUGACGGGGGCCCGCACAAGCGGCGGAGCAUGCGGAUUAAUUCGAUGCAACGCGAAGAACCUUACCAAGGCUUGACAUGAACUGGAAAUACCUGGAAACAGGUGCCCCGCUUGCGGUCGGUUUACAGGUGGUGCAUGGUUGUCGUCAGCUCGUGUCGUGAGAUGUUGGGUUAAGUCCCGCAACGAGCGCAACCCUCGUUCUAUGUUGCCAGCACGUUAUGGUGGGGACUCAUAGGAGACUGCCGGGGUCAACUCGGAGGAAGGUGAGGACGACGUCAAAUCAUCAUGCCCCUUAUGUCUUGGGCUUCACGCAUGCUACAAUGGCCGGUACAAUGGGUUGCGAUACUGUGAGGUGGAGCUAAUCCCAAAAAGCCGGUCUCAGUUCGGAUUGGGGUCUGCAACUCGACCCCAUGAAGUCGGAGUCGCUAGUAAUCGCAGAUCAGCAACGCUGCGGUGAAUACGUUCCCGGGCCUUGUACACACCGCCCGUCAAGUCACGAAAGUUGGUAACACCCGAAGCCG